GUCUUGUUUUGACCCGGUUAAAUAUUAAGUAGAAAUUUCUUGCCAAGUGACAGUAAUAUAUUUGCGAAGUUGAUAAGGAAGCCCGUUCCAGCGACACAUCUAUAUACCUUAAUAAAGGAAGUGACACACCUCAUUGCAGGUUUGGUGACCAGUACAGUAAACAAACAUGUUUAUACGAGGUUACCUCAAUAUAAAACCGAGUCCCUUUUAUACAUGCCAUAUAAAACAAACAAAAUGAAUGUAUUUAUCUAUUUGUUAUCUUUUAUAUGUAUGCGCUGUACAUAAUUGAUUUAAACUCCUUUGGUAUAUAUUCCAUAUGGCGGUGCUCCUACUUACAGGAGGCUUAUACACAGAAGAAGAAGCCGAGCGCCAUCUGUCGUCAUAAUGAUCGUUAGCAUAAUACAACGAUGACAUUUAACACUUCGACAUUUCACACAUCGACAAUUCACGAAUCGACAAGUCACAUGUUACAAGUUACAAAACAUCAAUAUACAAAAAGACAAUUUACCAAUAAAGAAUUUUGAAAUCUACAAGUUACAAAUUGACAAUUAACAAAUGAAGAAUGUUGAAUUUUGAUACAAAGAUACAAG
This 590-nucleotide long non-coding RNA is filed under the name Mytilus galloprovincialis (Mediterranean mussel). The record is from RNAcentral. Lineage: Eukaryota; Metazoa; Mollusca; Bivalvia; Mytilida; Mytilidae.